Molecule: ribosomal RNA, 467 nt
Filed under: Lancefieldella rimae
Lineage: Bacteria; Bacillati; Actinomycetota; Coriobacteriia; Coriobacteriales; Atopobiaceae
Description: bacterial SSU rRNA
Rfam family: Bacterial small subunit ribosomal RNA
Source: RNAcentral
GAUGAACGCUGGCGGCGCGCCUAACACAUGCAAGUCGAACGGUUAAAGCACCUUUUAGGUGUGUAUAAAGUGGCGAACGGCUGAGUAACACGUGGGCAACCUGCCCUCCUCUUGGGGAUAGCCUCGGGAAACCGAGGAUAAUACCCGAUACUUCAAUGUGGCCGCAUGACGACAUUGAGAAAGCUUUUGCGGAGAAGGAUGGGCCCGCGGCCUGUUAGCUUGUUGGUGGGGUAGAGGCCUACCAAGGCAAUGAUGGGUAGCUGGGUUGAGAGACCGACCAGCCAGAUUGGGACUGAGACACGGCCCAGACUCCUACGGGAGGCAGCAGUGGGGAAUCUUGCACAAUGGGCGAAAGCCUGAUGCAGCGACGCCGCGUGCGGGACGAAGGCCUUUCGGGUUGUAAACCGCUUUCAGCAGGGACGAGGCGAAAGUGACGGUACCUGCAGAAGAAGCCCCCGGCUAACUAC